GUGAGUUUGGCUUAAUGGUAGAGUGCUUGCCUAGCAUGCAUGAUGUCUUGAGUUCAAUCCGUAGCACUACA
RNAcentral lists this transfer RNA (71 nucleotides) under Marmota monax (woodchuck). Its description in RNAcentral is "tRNA.Ala". The record is from RNAcentral. Lineage: Eukaryota; Metazoa; Chordata; Mammalia; Rodentia; Sciuridae.